RNAcentral lists this ribosomal RNA (513 nucleotides) under uncultured bacterium. Its description in RNAcentral is "partial 16S ribosomal RNA". It matches the Rfam family "Bacterial small subunit ribosomal RNA", at positions 28 to 523 of the family's 1533-position model. The record is from RNAcentral.
GACGAACGCUGGCGGCAUGCCUAAUACAUGCAAGUCGAGCGAACAGAUGAAGUGCUUGCACUUCUGACGUUAGCGGCGAACGGGUGAGUAACACGUAAGGAAUCUACCUAUAAGCGGGGGAUAGCAUUCGGAAACGGGUGCUAAUACCGCAUAAUAUCUUCUUCCGCAUGGAAGAAGAUUGAAAGACGGCUCUGUUGUCACUUAUAGAUGACCUUGCGGUGCAUUAGUUAGUUGGUGGGGUAACGGCCCACAAAGACGAUGAUGCAUAGCCGACCUGAGAGGGUGAUCGGCCACAUUGGGACUGAGACACGGCCCAAACUCCUACGGGAGGCAGCAGUAGGGAAUCUUCCGCAAUGGGCGAAAGCCUGACGGAGCAAUGCCGCGUGAGAGAAGAAGGCCUUCGGGUCGUAAAACUCUGUUAUAAGAGAAGAACAAAUUGUAGAGUAACUGCUUCAGUCUUGACGGUAUCUUAUCAGAAAGCCACGGCUAACUACGUGCCAGCAGCCGCCGUAA